This 3979-nucleotide long non-coding RNA is filed under the name Sus scrofa (pig). Its description in RNAcentral is "lncRNA (ENSSSCG00000042271.1)". The record is from RNAcentral. Lineage: Eukaryota; Metazoa; Chordata; Mammalia; Artiodactyla; Suidae.
UCAGAUCCUGCGUUGCUAUGGCUGUGGCAUAGGCCGAUGGCUACGGCUCCGAUUGGACCCCUAGACUGGGAACCUCCCUAUGCCAUGGGAGUAGCUCAAGGAAAAAAAAAAAAAAAGAGGAAAAAAAAAAGGAUUCAGAGUGAGGUGGCUCUCCUGACACCUUAUUUUAGGGCUUCUGGUGUCCAGAGCUAUGAGAGAAUAAAUUUCUGUUGUUUUAAGCCACCAGGUUAGUGCUGAUUGGUUGUGGCAGCUUCAGGAAACACAUAGAGUCACUCAUCAAUUGAGUAAACUUCAACUAGUUAUUUAUUCUCUUUGAGCCUCAGUUUCUUUGUCUAGACCAGAGUUUAGGUCUAUGACUUGGGGUUAGUUACAUCUCUAUUUUUCAUCUAAAAAUGAGGUAAUACAACUUUUUUUUUUUAAAUUAAGAUGAGAGUAAUCAUGGAUUGAACAUUUGGGACAUCAUAAGCAUUAAUAAGCAUCUCACUAAAUAUUGGUCACCUCUGUCUGUAGUCUUCCUUGCUCUAAAAAGAAAAUGAGAAUGGCUUAAUAAAUUCUUGCCAUAAAGCAUGAUGCACUUGCACAGAAUUUAAUGCUAAGCUUUCUCUCAUGCAGAAAGGCAUUGUAUAUAUAACUCACAUAACCACGGGGCAAAUUAUCACAGUUUUAUCCUGGUAAUCUUAGGGAAGAUAAUAGUGGGCCAGACUGUACAUUCCCAAUGGGCCCACAGUUUUCCUAUAUGAGUUUCCAAAUUUGACUUAGCCUCACACGUUAUGAAAUUUUUAUUGUGUGGCAGAAAUAAGGAAAUAUCCAGUUUCUGUCCAGAGAGAACUUUUAUCCAGUAGUAAGGCAGUGAGUAGAGGACAGACAAGUAAGCCUCCAAGGAACUGACAUGAGACAGAAUAGCAUCCUGUCCUCAGUUCUUUGAGGGCUGAAAAGAUGGAUAAAUCAGUAACAUUCUAAAACAACACAAACCCAUGUUGUAUCUCGCAGCCAGGGGACGCAUUUCUUACCAAGUAGUGGUUAGGCCAUUGCACGUCCUGUCUCCAGCCAAGUGCCCAAACAGGGAAGCUUGGUGGAUAAUAGGCUUCAUUUUCCUAAAUAACCUACCCUGAAUAUUGCCAUUUCCAGGAAAAUUAAAGUCUAGAAGUUGAAGCAAAACCCAGCAUACUAAGUGCUGGGAAUAUACUGGUGAGAAAAGCUGACAAGAUCCUUGCCCUGUAGAGGUUUUAUUCUACCAGAGUAGAGAGACCUCAAUUGAUCAUAACCAACUGAAGAUGAAACUGUUCUGUAGCUAAAGGAAUUGGUCUAGUUAAGGAGAUUGAAAGGUUGUCUGGAGGAAGUGAUGUCUGAGCUGAGAUCUGAAUUUAUCUAGGUGAGUACAGGAGAAAAGAGCUUUCCAGACAGAAUGGGCAGCGUGUACAAAGGCCCUGAGAUGAGCAGAGCCUGACUAGUAGGAAGGAUGGAAUUGAGCCCAGCACCAGUGCUUUGGAAGAGAUGGCAUGGCAUGGAGGGAAGAGGAGGCUGCUAACAGAGUGUGGUCCAUGGACCAGCAUUGUGGGCAUCAUGUGGGAGCAUGUUAGAAAGGCAGAACUCAGCCCCAACCUACACCUGCUGCUGAAAGAGAAUCUGUUCGCCAUGUGUGGCUUGCAUAUUUAAGUUUGAGAAACAUCACCUUAGAACAUUUUCAGGUGGUGUGGAAAUUGCACACUGUGGAAUUUGUGUUAUUUAGUAUGCGUGCAUGUGUGUGUGUUGGGGAGGACGGAUACUAAAGCCCAUCUAAAACACCUGGUUAAUGGUGUUAGCGCAUGUCCUGUUGUUUGUAUACACUCUCCUUGAGAGCGAUAAUUCCGUGUUUUACUGUGUCAGAGCUCCUUCAUGUACUUGGAACAGUGCUGAGUAUGUUUAGUAUGCUGCAUUACUGCUGCACGGCCCACGAAAGUCUCUUUCCAUGGUGGCACAUCACUCAGAUGUCUUGAUGGGGCUGGUUUCUGCUCCUGGUAGACCUCUCUAAUUGAUCAGGCUCCUUUCACCCUGAACCUUAGACAUGGCCUGAGAUUGCCUCCACACAGUUCACCAGUGCCUACCAGUUGAUCUGAAUUGACACACAGAUGAGAUCAUUUGGUUACCCUAAUUUCUCUGAACAAAGCAUGAAAAUGAAUUUUGGGAACAAUCAGAAUUUCUGUAUUUUCCCAGGAUCCUUUAGGCUUGUGAGGAUACUGGGGAUACAUUUCCAGGAGGGAAGCAGAAUCCCUGCCUUGGAGCUUGUCCAUGAGAGUUAGUGAUGGUCAUACAGCAGCCUCCCUAACCAGAAGAGGAGGCAGAGAACCAUCUCCAAGAGCUUGCUUCUCAUAAAGGUACCAGCGGCUCAGGGAGGAACAUCAGAGACUUGCUUGAGAAAGCAUUUGUCUUUUUAAACUAUCUGAGCUGCCUCUGGGUUUGCAAAGAAGGAUGCCUGGAAGCUGUUCAGAAAGCCAACUUAGCAGCUGGGCAGCUGCAGCUACCACAGGCUUAGACAGAGAUGGAGAGGCUGUCAGACACCACAAAAUCAAUCCCGAGUCUCUGAACGAAGCAAAAUUCCCAGCAGCAGGAGUGUCCUGCUUCAUUUUCCCCUCAACUUAUUUAUAAAAGAAGAAAUGAAUCUUUCUCUCCCUGCAACACAUGCACAGAGGUGAAUGAUAAAACUGGAUUUGUCGUCAGCUGCCCCAAAUCCAAUAUUUGGUCAGCCCUUUCAAGAACAAGCAUUUUUCUGCACACUCUGAUACAGGACUGUGAUCAAAUGAGAUUGAUUACAUGUCUGAAUGAAUCACCUCUAUUAUUCUGGAGUUCUGUGGACUUGGCCUAGCUCAGCAUUUAGGUUAUAUCCAUUUGGUAGAUUCAGAAAGACCACUGGGCACUCCUGUAUUUGAGUUUCCUUUGAGUCCUCAUGGUAAGAGGGACAAGCAAGAAACUCAUGACAGCAGUUCCAGUCCUCAACAUCGCUGCCAUCAUUAAGUGAGUUUGUCUGUUCCUGAUACCAGCAGAGGCAAACACAUGGCAGACUAAUAAUCAGUUAACAUCAAGCAACCAAACAGAAGAGUUUGAGUAGUGAGGAAGAAGCAGCAAGGUUCAAUCCCGUACAUAAUAAUACAGUACAAUAUGAUACAGAGUAACAGUAUUGUGUGGUAAUACUAACCAAGGCUGUGGGUUCAGAGGAAGAGAAGAAACAUAAGCUGAGUGCUAGCAGCUGAAAAGAAAAAAAAAAAAGUUGAACUGUUGAAUAAGUCAUCCAGUAGACAUAUAUGUAACUUCCUUGAGCAUGUUUAGAAAUUCUGAGUUUGAUACCACACACCUUACACCUAGAGCAGUCUUCCCAAGAAGGUAGUGAAAGAUGACUCCGGUUGUCAAAUCUCGAAAGAAUGAUCAUUCAAACAGGUAAGAAACAGUAAGGUGGUACAGCCACAGUUUCAAAGUUCCUCAAAAAAUUAAAAGUAGAGGUGUCAUAUGAUUUAGCAAUCCUGCUUCCUGGCGUAUAUGCACACCAAACGCUAAUUCGAAGGGAUAUAUGCACUUCUGUGUUCUUAGCAGCAGUAUUCACAAUAGCCAAAAACAUGAAAACAACCUAAAUGUCCAUGGACAGAUGCAUGGAUACAGAAGAUGUGAUACAUCUAUCAAUGGAAUACUACUCAACCAUGAAAAAUAAUGAUACAUUGCCAUUUGCAGCAACAUGGAGAGACCUAGAGACCAUCAUACUAAAUGAAGUAAGUCAGAAAGAGAAAGACAUACCAUGUGAUGUCACUUACAUAUAGAAUCUAAAAUACAACACAAAUGAAUAUAUUUACAAACAGAAACAGACUCACAGACAGAGAACAGACUUGUUGCCAAGGGGAAGGGAAGGAUUGGGAGUUUGGUAUUAGUAGAUGCAAACUAUUAGACAUAGGAUGGAUAAACAACAAGGUACUACUAUAUAGCACAAAGAACUAUAUUCAUUAUCCUGUGAUAA